This is a long non-coding RNA of Phascolarctos cinereus (koala), 519 nucleotides long. RefSeq lists it as uncharacterized. The record is from RefSeq and is a predicted model, not a curated record. NCBI's taxonomy places the organism in Eukaryota, Metazoa, Chordata, Mammalia, Diprotodontia, Phascolarctidae.
GAAGGCAACGGGGGAGGGGAAGCGGGGAAGGAGGAGAGAGCGCUGGAGGCGAGCGCCAUCUUACGACGCUGUGUCCAACUCUUCAUGGCCCCAUGAACCAUAGCAAGCCAAUACUGUCCAUAGAGACAAAGAUACUGGAUACUUGGUAAAGAAGAUGCUGGAAUGGUUUGUCACUUCCUUUUCCAGUAGAUUAAGGAGCCAGGGAGUCUGCUACUCUUGGUCUACUGUCAAAGGCCUCAGGAUACAGAUGGGUCCUAUAAAUCAAUCAAGCAUUCCUCUAAGACAGAGAGUGAUAAUUGUUGGCCCCAGCUGUAUGACUAUGAAGAUAUGGUUUGCUAUAGAAAAACUGGCCACAAGAGUCUAUCUGUUCCCCUCCUAAAGCUGUCAUUAGGGAUUCACUGGAUGUGUGUACAUCAUUUUCAAUCAUCUUAUAGAGGUUUCACAGUAAGCUCGGAUCUGUUCCAAAAGAUGAAGGACGCGGAUUUCACGCCUGCCUCGCUUGUCAUCAGGUUGUGAAUG